Molecule: ribosomal RNA, 253 nt
Filed under: uncultured bacterium
Lineage: Bacteria
Description: partial 16S ribosomal RNA
Rfam family: Bacterial small subunit ribosomal RNA
Source: RNAcentral
UACGUAGGGUGCGAGCGUUGUCCGGAAUUAUUGGGCGUAAAGAGCUCGUAGGCGGUUUGUCGCGUCUGCUGUGAAAACUCGGGGCUUAACCCCGGGCCUGCAGUGGGUACGGGCAGACUAGAGUGCGGUAGGGGAGACUGGAAUUCCUGGUGUAGCGGUGGAAUGCGCAGAUAUCAGGAGGAACACCGGUGGCGAAGGCGGGUCUCUGGGCAGUAACUGACGCUGAGGCACGAAAGCGUGGGGAGCGAACAGG